This 202-nucleotide microRNA precursor is filed under the name Oryza glumipatula. RNAcentral describes it as "MIR812 microRNA precursor family". It matches the Rfam family "MIR812 microRNA precursor family". The record is from Rfam by way of RNAcentral. Lineage: Eukaryota; Viridiplantae; Streptophyta; Magnoliopsida; Poales; Poaceae.
CAAAAAAAUAAACUCUGGUUUCCGUAUCUAACGUUUGACCGUCCGUCUUAUUUAAAAAAUUAUGAAAAAAAAUUAAAAAGACAAGUCACAUAUAAAAUAUUAAUCAUGUUUUAUUAUCUAACAGUAAAAAUACUAAUUAUAAAAAAAUUAUAUAAGACGGACAGUCAAACGUUGGACACGGAAACCCAGGGUUUGUUUUUUU